UAGUGUAGAUGGAGCCCAUGGGGGAGCUCACCCACCCCAUAGUUCCUCGUUUAGUCUGUUCUCCUGUGGGCUCUGACCACGUCCUGUUUUGUUCUACCCCAGGCAGCGACAGUGCCCAGGGCUCUGAUGUGUUUCUCACAGAUCCUAAAGUGUGAGACAGCUGCCUUGUGGGGGACUGAGUGAUGCAAGAUUUGUUCACGCUCCCGCUUUGUGGCUCCAGGAUCCCCUGACUUCUCUUUCUGCAACUGGCAUACGAAUGUGUCUGCUUCUAUUAGC
This is a non-coding RNA of Ceratotherium simum simum (southern white rhinoceros), 276 nucleotides long. Lineage: Eukaryota; Metazoa; Chordata; Mammalia; Perissodactyla; Rhinocerotidae. The record is from RefSeq and is a predicted model, not a curated record.